RNAcentral lists this small nucleolar RNA (196 nucleotides) under Trichuris muris. Its description in RNAcentral is "snRNA TMUE_0100000363". It matches the Rfam family "Small nucleolar RNA U3". From Rfam's summary of the family: Small nucleolar RNAs (snoRNAs) are involved in the processing and modification of rRNA in the nucleolus. There are two main classes of snoRNAs: the box C/D class, and the box H/ACA class. Lineage: Eukaryota; Metazoa; Nematoda; Enoplea; Trichinellida; Trichuridae. The record is from RNAcentral.
AAGACCUUACUUCACAGGAUCAUUUCUGUAGUAAGUGUCCACAGAUCACUCAACAGAGUGUGAGCAACGUUCAGCCACGAUGAUGAGUUGUCCUUCUUCCCAGAGCAGGAAAACGACUGAGGAAUGGUAGUUUCCUUUCCCAGUCAUUGUUGACUGUUGCAGCUUGCGGGCUGGGGAAGAAGGGUUGCUGAGUGGU